This is a long non-coding RNA of Cyprinus carpio (common carp), 870 nucleotides long. NCBI's taxonomy places the organism in Eukaryota, Metazoa, Chordata, Actinopteri, Cypriniformes, Cyprinidae. The record is from Ensembl.
UUUCUUUUUUUACUCCCACCAGAUGACACUGAUCUGCCUUCAAAAAUUUGAUUUUAAAGGCAUUGCAUCUAUUUUUAACAUGAAAUGCUACCAUAAUUGAAAAGUAAUAUAUAUAUAUAUUUUUAAUUAAAUAGUAUUAUUUUCAGUGUGAAAAAAAUUAUCAGAAUUAUUGCAUAAAUAUUAAAUAGAACCAUGAAAUUCUCUCAAAAUACAAAAUACAAAAGAAAAAUAUUAUUGAACAAAAAUAUUUUACAUUGAUUUCACUGAAAAAAAAAAAAAAAAGUUGAUGAUCAGUGCAGAUGUGUGUUGAAAUGUUUGGCCAGAAGGAUGUUCCGCCCCUCUUCUGUUUUCUUUAUAAAGACCUAAAGUGCCAAUGACUGCAUUUCAUCAGACCAGCAUCAGUGCUAAACUUGCAACAAUGAAAUCUUUGGCUCUGGUUUUGGUAUUUUGUGCCUGUGUUUCUUUAAGCGAUUCUGUCUGCUCCGUGACACCUCUAAAGCCAGGGGCAAGAUUUUGUGUCGAUCGCUAUGAUAAAUCCAGGCAUCCAAUGGGAAGUACUUGGACAAACAGCAAAUGUAUCAGAUGUACCUGCUCCCCUGGGCAAAUGGGAUGCUGUGACGUGUUGGGCCGAGUGACUAGCCUAUCUCAAGGCUGCAUUGUGGAGUAUGAUUACAAAAAAUGCACAUUUGACGUGUUUAAUCCAACUAACCCCAACAUUAAGUGUUCUUAUGGCCGUGUUGGAAAAUAAUUUUCAAUGAUCGAGUAAUGUGUCCUUUUUGGAUUAAAAUGAAUACCAAUCAAUUUUUGGAUCCAACUUGGAAAAAAACAUUGUCCUUUUUGGAUUAAAAUGAAUACCAAUCAAUUUUUGGA